UGUAAUUUGUGGGUUUUAAAGUUAGAAGUUACUAGAAAAGAGUAGAAUGGGAGUUUGGAUAUGUAAAAGGUCAAAAGUUGUGAGUGGGAUUUUAAUUGUGUUGUUAGUGGGGUUUUAAGGCCAUAAUGAAGACUUUUCUAGAAGAGCUUCCUAAAGCCUAUAAAUAGGAUGCUCUCUCAAUUGUAAGAUACACCACAGAAAGAAAUACAAUAGAGAGAAUUGCAAAGAAGAGUGUUUCUUUUAGAGAGAAUUUAAGUGUGAGUGAGUGUCUAUUUUUUACAACUUCCAUAUAUGAGGAGGGUGCUGCCUCCACUGUUACCAAUCACUUCAAUGGACUUUAAUUAACUACUUCAUCAUCACUCGGCUUCUGUUUGGAUGAGGAUAGAAGUAGCAAGAGAAAUAAAAGAGAAGAAGAAAGAUGAAGAGUUAACUUGUUUGAAUUUAGAGAUUGAUACGAGUUAACUGUAACUAAAUUUAUGUAAUAUUAUUUUAGUUAUCCAAAUAUCUUUGAGAUUAUGAAUUAUUUUUCCAAGUGAAGUGUGAAGUGCUGUGGGAUCUAAGCUAGCCUCUUGUGAAUGUUUUUUAUUUUUGCUUUGCCUAUCCUUAGAUUUCCAAGGAAGGUUUGGAGGUAGGAUUCUUCUAGAGCUGUUACAGUAUUGUUUAAACGUACUGGGAUCUGUUCUUCGACUUGGAAGCCUUGGUUCAUCUGUUAGAAGCUUUUAAAUGUGUGGCCUUCUUAUUAUCAUAAGAGAGGACGUUCUUGGUUCUGUAAACGGGUAAACGCGUAAAUGGGAAAACUAGUUGAGAUACACUAUCUCUUUAUUUAUUAUCAUUAUUUUAAAAUUUUAUUUUAAAUAUUAUUGUUAUUUUAAUAUUUAUAUUAUUAAUAUAGUUAAUUUUUUUUUAAUAUAUAAACUUUUUUACAGUUUUAGUUAUUUUUUUUUAUGUUUUAUUAUAUGUGCAUGGGAUAGUUAAAAAAAUAGAUACAAAAUUACAUUCAUAGCAGAUUUUAUAAAAAAAAUGGGUGCACCAUGAUGACGUAAUGAGGCACAUUACUUAAUUGCAGAUAGUGGCUUUUCCUCUUGUCUCACUUGUUUCUCUGCACUUGAGAGAAGAAGCCUGCACCUUCAUUUCAGUCUGCCUACCCACCCCAACAUUUCCUUUACUUUAGCAGACUGCCGACCUAUUUCACGUGGGUUGGUGGUCCUGUUGGCUCACAAUGAGAACAGUCCCCUCAAUAUAUUCUGUCUUUCCUCAGGUUCCGGUUCUAUUCCUCUAGCUCUUCUCUGUCUCAACUUUUUGGCUUCUUUCAACCGCCUUCAAAACCACCUAAACGUUUUUCAUGGCUCAUGUUCUAAGGCAAAUAUUUUAUUAUAUUAUUAAUAAAAUAAAUAAAUAAAAUUAUUUAUAAAAUUUUAAUUAACUUAAAUAUACAUAAAAAUUUCUCAUAUUUUAUUAUUUAAUAUUUUUAGAAAUAAAAAUAAAUUUGUAAUUAUAUUUCGCACUUUUUAAAAAAAAUAAAAAAUUCUCUCAAAACAUUCUAUCACGUUAAAUCCCUUUUAACCAGCAAAAUCUAAACAGUCUUUCUUCAUUACUUAUUCUUAAAUUCUCAAACAUUCACUAUCACAAAUGUUAGAAAAAUACAUUCCAUUUUCUAUCGAAACACAUUAUGUGAGAAAUGAUAAGGUAAGGGAACUUUCGUGGAUGUCUCAGCAUAGCUAAACUUUGAAUAGAAAAAGAUUUCUUUAACACAAAGACCCACCAGACGCAGUAAAGACCCACCAGACGCAGUGAUAUUAAAUGACCCAAGGCUGUUUAUAAAAAUCCUCAUGCAUACCCUUGUCUCACUCUUUAAUCUCUCCUUCUUUUAGCUGUCGUCAAAAUCAGGUUUCAACUUCUUCAUGGCUGAUGGUGCUUUUGGAAUGAGAGGUAAUGAACUGAUUUUUAACAUAGGCAAUAUCCAAAUAUGUAACAUGGCAAUAGAAACUAACCCUGUUGAUGGCCUUGUUGCCUUCAUCUUCUUUGUACUUCUCGCUUUCCUCCAACUCAGAUAUCCAGAAAAUUCCACCCCAUUUCACCUUCAUCCAAACACCAUUUGGCUUUCCAUUCUUAGCUUUCUUCUUUAUUGCUUCUUCACCUUCUCUGGUAACCUCAACUUUGGUAUCA
RNAcentral lists this long non-coding RNA (2166 nucleotides) under Phaseolus vulgaris (common bean). Its description in RNAcentral is "long non-coding RNA (PVUL_LNC000852)". Lineage: Eukaryota; Viridiplantae; Streptophyta; Magnoliopsida; Fabales; Fabaceae. The record is from RNAcentral.